GGGGCCGGUAGCUCAGGUGGUUAGAGCGCACGCCUGAUAAGCGUGAGGUCGUAGGUUCAACUCCUACUCGGCCCACCAU
This 79-nucleotide transfer RNA is filed under the name Sphingomonas sp. LCSAOTU17. RNAcentral describes it as "tRNA-Ile". It matches the Rfam family "tRNA". Rfam says of the family: Transfer RNA (tRNA) molecules are approximately 80 nucleotides in length. Lineage: Bacteria; Pseudomonadati; Pseudomonadota; Alphaproteobacteria; Sphingomonadales; Sphingomonadaceae. The record is from RNAcentral.